Molecule: unclassified non-coding RNA, 1385 nt
Filed under: Stylophora pistillata
Lineage: Eukaryota; Metazoa; Cnidaria; Anthozoa; Scleractinia; Pocilloporidae
Description: oxysterol-binding protein 1-like, transcript variant X1
Source: RNAcentral
UGGGUUGAGUAAAGACCACCUGUCCCUGGAUAUGGUCGACCCGGUGUAAUGUCAACCUUGUUGACAAUCGUGGUUGAAUCACCUUCGAACGAUUCCAUUUAAAAGAAGCUGUGCGCGAAAUCAAGUCUGUGUAGAUAACAAUUCAUUGAAAAGAAUAAUGCAACAUGAUACACACACGGAUACCCGACAUAGAACGUGCAGAAAAGGGCUAUACUGGGGAAUAUUGGCUUGAGGUCAUGGCAGUAUGAACUAUGUGCAGCAAGCUCUAUACAAGAAUGACUAAGGCCCAACACUCUCCGGUACAACUUGAGCAAGAACCUGUGGAAGGUGAUCUGCAUACAGAAUUCAAUAUUUUACAGAAAAGCACUGUUUUUACAAAGAAAAGAUCCAGGAGGCAGAGGCUACCAGCUGCAAGGGAAAGGAGUUCAUUAAGAAGUCUUAUAAAUUUUAUGAAGUCAGUUGUUGGAAAGGAUCUAACAAAAGUAACAAUGCCAGUUCAUUUCAAUGAGCCACUGUCAUUUCUACAAAGACUGGCAGAAGAUUUAGAGUAUGCUGAUGUUUUAAACAGAGCAUCAUUUUGCAAAAAUUCAUUGGUACUGCUGGCUCAUGUGGCAGCCUUUGCCAGUUCAACAUAUUCUACAGUACUGGGAAGGUUCUGGAAACCUUUCAACCCACUUCUGGGAGAAACAUUUGAAUUUAUUAACCCCACUGCUGGAUAUGCCCUAAUAGCAGAGCAGGUAUCACAUCAUCCUCCUAUCUCAGCCCUUCAUGCAGAAUCUGAUCACUGGAUUUUCUGGCAGGAAUAUAAGCUUGAUACUAAAUUUAGGGGACAGUUUUUUAAGGUGAUUCCAACCGGAAUGUGUCACGUGAAGUUUAAAGCAGAUGGUCAUCACUUUACAUGGCAGAAGCCAAUCACAACAAUUCACAACAUCCUUGUUGGCAGUCUCUAUGUAGAUCAGGAAGGAGAUGUUGUGGUGACAAAUCACUCAACGCAAGAGCAAUGUAGACUUCACUUUCAACCUGUAAGGGAAGUCCAAGAGAACUUCAAAAAGCUUUCAGGUGAAGUGCUAAAUUCAGAGGGUCAUGUGAAAUAUAACAUUGUUGGAGCAUGGGACCGUGGCCUUGAAUUGCAUUCUGUAGAUGACACAGACAUGGAUCCUAUUGACCUGUGGACUGCAAACACUAAACCUGAAGAUUCCUGGAGAUAUUAUGGCUUCACACAAUUUUCAAUUCAAUUAAAUGAUCCAGAAUAUGCUUGAGAUACUUAAAUAGCCUUUUUCCAUAGACGUUUCAUGCCACACCGACUGUCGAGUCAGGACAGAUAUUCGGCUCCUGGAAUGUGGAAAGAUUGAUCCUUCUGCCAGCGAAAAGCAUCGCCUAGAGGA